Molecule: ribosomal RNA, 500 nt
Filed under: uncultured bacterium
Lineage: Bacteria
Description: partial 16S ribosomal RNA
Rfam family: Bacterial small subunit ribosomal RNA
Source: RNAcentral
AUUGAACGCUGGCGGAAUGCUUUACACAUGCAAGUCGAACGGCAGCACGGACUUCGGUCUGGUGGCGAGUGGCGAACGGGUGAGUAAUGUAUCGGAACGUGCCCAGUCGUGGGGGAUAACGUAGUGAAAAUUACGCUAAUACCGCAUACGAUCUAUGGAUGAAAGCGGGGGAUCGCAAGACCUCGUGCGAUUGGAGCGGCCGAUAUAAGAUUAGGUAGGUGGUGGGGUAAAGGCCCACCAAGCCAGCAAUCUGUAGCUGGUCUGAGAGGACGGGCGGCUACACUGGAACUGAGACACGGUCCAGACUCCGACGGGAGGCAGCAGUGGGGAAUUUUGGACAAUGGGCGAAAGCCUGAUCCAGCCAUUCCGCGUGCAGGAUGAAGGCCCUCGGGUUGUAAACUGCUUUUGUACAGAACGAAAAGGUUUCUACUAAUACUAGGAGCUCAUGACGGUACUGUAAGAAUAAGCACCGGCUAACUACGUGCCAGCCGCCGCCGUAA